This 1417-nucleotide ribosomal RNA is filed under the name metagenome. Its description in RNAcentral is "bacterial SSU rRNA". It matches the Rfam family "Bacterial small subunit ribosomal RNA". The record is from RNAcentral.
AGAGUUUGAUCCUGGCUCAGAACGAACGCUGGCGGCGUGCUUCAUACAUGCAAGUCGAACGAGAAAAUUCCGCUUCGGGGAAUGAGUAGAGUGGCAAACGGGUGAGUAACACGUGGGCAACCUGCUCUCAAAUUGGGGAUAACCUCGCCAACGCGGGGCUAAUACCGAAUGUUGUCCUAAUAUCGCAUGGUAUAAGGAUGAAAGCUUUUUUUUAAUAAGAAGGCGUUUGAGAAGGGGCCCGCGUCCUAUUAGCUUGUUGGUGAGGUAAUGGCUCACCAAGGCUGCGAUAGGUAGCCGGCCUGAGAGGGUGAUCGGCCACACUGGGACUGAGAUACGGCCCAGACUCCUACGGGAGGCAGCAGUAGGGAAUAUUGCGCAAUGGACGAAAGUCUGACGCAGCAACGCCGCGUGGGUGAUGAAGUUUUUCGGAACGUAAAACCCUGUCAGGAGGGAAGAAACUCUCGAUUUUUUCGGGACUGACGGUACCUCCAGAGGAAGCUCCGGCCAACUCCGUGCCAGCAGCCGCGGUAACACGGGGGGAGCAAGCGUUGUUCGGAUUUACUGGGCGUAAAGGGCGUGUAGGCGGAUGGGUCAGUCAGAUGUGAAAUUCCAGGGCUCAACUCUGGACCUGCAUUUGAUACUUCUCAUCUAGAGUAUGGGAGAGGAGAUCGGAAUUCCUGGUGUAGCGGUGAAAUGCGUAGAUAUCAGGAAGAACACCGGUGGCGAAGGCGGAUCUCUGGCCUAAUACUGACGCUGAUGCGCGAAAGCUGGGGGAGCAAACAGGAUUAGAUACCCUGGUAGUCCCAGCCGUAAACGAUGGGCACUAGGUGUUGGGGGUAUUGAUCCCCUCAGUGCCGGAGUUAACGCAUUAAGUGCCCCGCCUGGGGAGUACGCUCGCAAGGGUGAAACUCAAAGGAAUUGACGGGGGCCCGCACAAGCGGUGGAGCAUGUGGUUUAAUUCGAUGCAACGCGAAGAACCUUACCGGGGUUUGACAUGCCCGUCAUACCUUGAUGAAAGUCAAGGGUCAGUUCGCUGGACGGUGCACAGGUGCUGCAUGGCUGUCGUCAGCUCGUGUCGUGAGAUGUUGGGUUAAGUCCCGCAACGAGCGCAACCCUUACCCUUAGUUGCCAGCACGUAAUGGUGGGAACUCUAAGGGGACUGCCUCGGAUAACGGGGAGGAAGGUGGGGAUGACGUCAAGUCCUCAUGGCCCUUAUGCUCCGGGCUACACACGUGCUACAAUGGUCGGUACAGAGGGCUGCGAAACCGCGAGGUGGAGCUAAUCCCAGAAAGCCGAUCUCAGUUCGGAUUGGAGUCUGCAACUCGACUCCAUGAAGUCGGAAUCGCUAGUAAUCGCGAAUCAGCAGGUCGCGGUGAAUACGUUCCCGGGCCUUGUACACACCGCCCGUCAAGCGACG